UACGGAGGAUGCAAGCGUUAUCCGGAUUUAUUGGGUUUAGAGGGUGCGUAGGCGGGACUGUAAGUCAGGGGUGAAAUACUGCAGCUUAACUGUAGCAUUGCCUUUGAAACUGCCGUUCUUGAGUACAGUUGAGGUAGGCGGAAUGUGGUGUGUAGCGGUGAAAUGCAUAGAUAUCACGAGGAACUCCGAUUGCGCAGGCAGCUUACUAAACUACUACUGACGCUCAGGCACGAAGGCGUGGGGAUCAAACAGGA
Molecule: ribosomal RNA, 254 nt
Filed under: uncultured prokaryote
Description: partial 16S ribosomal RNA
Rfam family: Bacterial small subunit ribosomal RNA
Source: RNAcentral